UACAGGGGGUGCAAACGUUGCUCGGAAUCAUUGGGCGUAAAGCGCACGUAGGCGGUUCGUUAUGUCGGAUGUGAAAGCCCUUGGCUUAACCGAGGAAGUGCAUCCGAAACUGGCGAGCUAGAGUACGAAAGAGGAUCGCGGAAUUCCCGGUGUAGAGGUGAAAUUCGUAGAUAUCGGGAGGAACACCGGUGGCGAAGGCGGCGAUCUGGGUCGAUACUGACGCUCAGGCACGAAAGCGUGGGGAGCAAACAGG
This 253-nucleotide ribosomal RNA is filed under the name uncultured bacterium. Its description in RNAcentral is "partial 16S ribosomal RNA". It matches the Rfam family "Bacterial small subunit ribosomal RNA", at positions 524 to 776 of the family's 1533-position model. The record is from RNAcentral.